RNAcentral lists this small nucleolar RNA (95 nucleotides) under Drosophila virilis. Its description in RNAcentral is "small nucleolar RNA Me28S-Am2634". It matches the Rfam family "Small nucleolar RNA Me28S-Am2634". From Rfam's summary of the family: Me28S-Am2634 is a member of the C/D class of snoRNA which contain the C (UGAUGA) and D (CUGA) box motifs. This family directs 2'-O-methylation of 28S A-2634. Lineage: Eukaryota; Metazoa; Arthropoda; Insecta; Diptera; Drosophilidae. The record is from Rfam by way of RNAcentral.
UCUAUUUCUAUAUGAUGAUUUUUUCAAGUAGGAAUCUCAUUGAGCUUCAGUCAUUCGUUGCCAUGAAAUCAACUUCUUUUCCUGAACAUAAUAUC